GAUGAACGCUGGCGGCGUGCCUAAUACAUGCAAGUCGAGCGAACAGACGAUGAGCUUGCUCCUCUGACGUUAGCGGCGGACGGGUGAGUAACACGUGGAUAACCUACCUAUAAGACUGGGAUAACUUCGGGAAACCGGAGCUAAUACCGGAUAAUAUAUUGAACCGCAUGGUUCAAUAGUGAAAGACGGUUUUGCUGUCUCUUAUAGAUGGAUCCGCGCCGCAUUAGCUAGUUGGUAAGGUAACGGCUUACCAAGGCAACGAUGCGUAGCCGACCUGAGAGGAUGAUCAGCCACACUGGAACUGAGACACGGUCCAGACUCCUACGGGAGGCAGCAGUAGGGAAUAUUCCGCAAUGGGCGAAAGCUUGACGGAGCAACGCCGCGUGAGUGAUGAAGGUCUUCGGAUCGUAAAACUCUGUUAUUAGGGAAGAAAAAAUGUGUAAGUAACUAUGCACGUCUUGACGGUACCUAAUCAGAAAGCCACGGCUAACUACGUG
This 497-nucleotide ribosomal RNA is filed under the name uncultured bacterium. RNAcentral describes it as "partial 16S ribosomal RNA". It matches the Rfam family "Bacterial small subunit ribosomal RNA", at positions 28 to 507 of the family's 1533-position model. The record is from RNAcentral.